This is an RNA transcript of Mandrillus leucophaeus (drill), 1656 nucleotides long. It is a transcript of the gene named Golgi pH regulator pseudogene, with no coding region annotated. NCBI's taxonomy places the organism in Eukaryota, Metazoa, Chordata, Mammalia, Primates, Cercopithecidae. The transcript has a single exon. The record is from RefSeq and is a predicted model, not a curated record.
AUAGAUUCCAGCAUCAUGAUUACCUCCCAGAUACUUUUUUUUUUUUUUUUUAAUUUGGGUGGCUUUUCUUCAUGGGCCAAUUGUUUAAGAACUAUGAGGUGCGUCAGUAUGUUGCAUGGGUGACCUUCUCUGUGAUGUUUGCAUUUUCUUGCACUAUGUUUGAGCUCAGCAUGUUUGAAAUCUUAGGAGUAUUGAGUAGCAGCUCUCGUUAUUUUCACUGGAAAAUGAACCUGUGUGUAAUUCUACUGAUCCUGGUUUUCAUGGUGCGUUUUUACACUGGCUAUUUUGUUGUGGGCAACAUCCGACUACUUUUAUCUCCUCUGUCUUAGUGCAUAAACAACAACUGCUUUUUUCCUGUCUCUUGUGGUUGACCUUUAGCUAUUUCUUCUGGAAACUAGGAGAUUCCUUUCCCAUUCUCAGCCCAAAACAUGGGAUCUUAUCCAUAGAACAGUUCAUCAGCUGGGUUGGUGUGAUUGGAGUUACUCUCACGGCUCUCCUUGCUGGAUUUGGUGCUGUCUACUGCCCAUACACUUUCAUGUCUUACUUCCUCAGGAAUGUGACUGACACAGAUAUUCUAGCCCUAGAAUAGUGACUGCUCCAAACCAUGGAUAUGAUCAUAACCAAAAAGAAAAGGAUGGCAAUGGCACAGAGAACAAUGUUCCAGAAGGGGGAGGUACAUAACAAAUCAUCAGGGUUCUGAGGAAUGAUAAAAAGUAUUACCACUUAUUCAAUAGGAAGUGGAUGCUUUGGAAGAACUAAGUAGGCAGCUUUUUCUGGAAACAGCUGAUCUGUAUGCUACCAAGGAGAGAACAGAAUACUCCAAAACCUUCAAAGGGAAAUAUUUUAAUUUUCUGGGUUACUUUUUCUCUGUUUACUGUGUUUGGAAAUUUUUCAUGGCAACAAUCAAUAUUGUUUUUGAUCGAGUUGGGAAAAUGGAUCCUGUCACAAGAGUCAUUGAGAUCACUGUGAAUUAUCUGGGAAUCCAAUGUGAUGUGAAGUUUUGGUCCCAACACAUUUCCUCCAUUGUUGUUGGAAUAAUCAUCGCCACAUCCAUCAGAGGACUGCUGAUCACUCAUACCAAGUUAUUUUAUGCCAUCUCUAGCAGUAAGUCCUCCAGUGUCAAUGUCCUGCUAUUAGCACAGAUAAUGGGCAUGUACUUUGUCUCCUCUGCGCUGCUGAUCCGAAUGAAUAUGCCUCUAGAAUACUGCACCAUAACUACUGAAGUCCUUGGAGAACUGCAGUUCAAUUUGUCCCCAUUGGUUUGAUGUGAUCUUCCUGGUCAGCACUCUCUCUAGCACAGUGUUUCUCUAUUUGGCUCACAAACAGGCACCAGAGAAGCAUAUGACACCUUGAACUUAGGCCUACUACAGACUGUUAGAGGCCAGUGGUCUCAAAAUUUGGAUAUGAGAGAGGAAAAAAUGGAGGGGACAAGGGUCUAACAUUUUAUAAACAAACAAAAUGCUGUGGUAGCAUUUUUUACCUCUAGCAUCCUCUUUCCUACUCAGGUGAUACUGUGAUCAUGAGUAGCAUCAGCUAGAACAUGAGAGGGAGAAGUAACUCAAGGCAAUACUCAGCAGAGAGCAUCCUAUGUGGACCUGAGGCUGGUGCAAUGGCAGAGAGGAACCAAAAAACUAGAAGGAAAAAAUACACUGGAAC